UACGGAAGGCAGCAGUGGGGAAUAUUGCACAAUGGGCGAAAGCCUGAUGCAGCUAUGCCGCGUGUAUGAAGAAGGCCUUAGGGUUGUAAAGUACUUUCAUCGGGGAGGAAAAAACAAAACUAAUAAUUUUAUUUCUUGACGUUACCCGAAAAAGAAGCACCGGCUAACUCCGUGCCAGCAGCCGCGGUAAUACGGAGGGUGCUAGCGUUAAUCAGAAUUACUGGGCGUAAAGAGCACGUAGGUGGUUUUUUUAAGUCAGAUGUGAAAUCCCUGGGCUUAACCUAGGAACUGCAUUUUGAAACUGAAGUACUAGAGUAUCGUAGAGGGAGGUAGAAUUCUAGGUGUAGCGGUGAAAUGCGUAGAUAUCUGGAGGAAUACCUGUGGCGAAAGCGGCCUCCUAAACGAAUACUGACACUGAGGGUGCGAAAGCGUGGGGAGCAAACAGGGAUUAGAUACC
RNAcentral lists this ribosomal RNA (457 nucleotides) under uncultured bacterium. Its description in RNAcentral is "bacterial SSU rRNA". It matches the Rfam family "Bacterial small subunit ribosomal RNA", at positions 340 to 786 of the family's 1533-position model. The record is from RNAcentral.